UGGGGAAUAUUGCGCAAUGGGGGAAACCCUGACGCAGCAACGCCGCGUGGGUGAAGAAGGCCUUCGGGUUGUAAAGCUCUGUCUUCUGGGACGAUAAUGACGGUACCAGAGGAGGAAGCCACGGCUAACUACGUGCCAGCAGCCGCGGUAAUACGUAGGUGGCAAGCGUUGUCCGGAUUUACUGGGCGUAAAGGGAGCGUAGGCGGAUAUUUAAGUCAGAUGUGAAAUACCCGAGCUUAACUUGGGUGCUGCAUUUGAAACUGGAUAUCUGGAGUGCAGGAGAGGAAAGUGGAAUUCCUAGUGUAGCGGUGAAAUGCGUAGAGAUUAGGAAGAACACCAGUGGCGAAGGCGACUUUCUGGACUGUAACUGACGCUGAGGCUCGAAAGCGUGGGGAGCAAACA
This 402-nucleotide ribosomal RNA is filed under the name uncultured bacterium. RNAcentral's name for it is "bacterial SSU rRNA". It matches the Rfam family "Bacterial small subunit ribosomal RNA", at positions 355 to 774 of the family's 1533-position model. The record is from RNAcentral.